Molecule: ribosomal RNA, 496 nt
Filed under: uncultured bacterium
Lineage: Bacteria
Description: partial 16S ribosomal RNA
Rfam family: Bacterial small subunit ribosomal RNA
Source: RNAcentral
GAUGAACGCUGGCGGCGUGCCUAAUACAUGCAAGUCGAGCGAACGGACGAGAAGCUUGCUUCUCUGAUGUUAGCGGCGGACGGGUGAGUAACACGUGGAUAACCUACCUAUAAGACUGGGAUAACUUCGGGAAACCGGAGCUAAUACCGGAUGAUAUUUUGAACCGCAUGGUUCAAAAGUGAAAGACGGUCUUGCUGUCACUUAUAGAUGGAUCCGCGCUGCAUUAGCUAGUCGGUAAGGUAACGGCUUACCAAGGCAACGAUGCAUAGCCGACCUGAGAGGGUGAUCGGCCACACUGGAACUGAGACACGGUCCAGACUCCUACGGGAGGCAGCAGUAGGGAAUCUUCCGCAAUGGGCGAAAGCCUGACGGAGCAACGCCGCGUGAGUGAUGAAGGUCUUCGGAUCGUAAAACUCUGUUAUUAGGGAAGAACAUAUGUGUAAGUAACUGUGCACAUCUUGACGGUACCUAAUCAGAAAGCCACGGCUAACUACGU